Molecule: unclassified non-coding RNA, 345 nt
Filed under: soil metagenome
Description: partial contains 5.8S ribosomal RNA, internal transcribed spacer 2, and large subunit ribosomal RNA
Rfam family: 5.8S ribosomal RNA (bases 1-120)
Source: RNAcentral
GAUGAAGAACGUAGCGAAAUGCGAUACGUAAUGUGAAUUGCAGAAUUCAGUGAAUCAUCGAGUCUUUGAACGCACAUUGCGCCCCCUGGUAUUCCGGGGGGCAUGCCUGUCCGAGCGUCAUUGCUGCCCUCAAGCACGGCUUGUGUGUUGGGCCUCCGUCCUCCUCCCGGGGGACGGGCCCGAAAGGCAGCGGCGGCACCGCGUCCGGUCCUCGAGCGUAUGGGGCUUCGUCACCCGCUCUUGUAGGCCCGGCCGGCGCUUGCCGACACAUCAAUCUUUUUUCCAGGUUGACCUCGGAUCAGGUAGGGAUACCCGCUGAACUUAAGCAUGUCAAUAAGCGGAGGA